Molecule: ribosomal RNA, 1506 nt
Filed under: metagenome
Description: bacterial SSU rRNA
Rfam family: Bacterial small subunit ribosomal RNA
Source: RNAcentral
AGAGUUUGAUCCUGGCUCAGGACGAACGCUGGCGGCGUGCCUAAUACAUGCAAGUAGAACGCUGAAGAGAGGAGCUUGCUCUUCUUGGAUGAGUUGCGAACGGGUGAGUAACGCGUAGGUAACCUGCCUUGUAGCGGGGGAUAACUAUUGGAAACGAUAGCUAAUACCGCAUAACAAUGGAUGACCCAUGUCAUUUAUUUGAAAGGGGCAAAUGCUCCACUACAAGAUGGACCUGCGUUGUAUUAGCUAGUAGGUGAGGUAACGGCUCACCUAGGCGACGAUACAUAGCCGACCUGAGAGGGUGAUCGGCCACACUGGGACUGAGACACGGCCCAGACUCCUACGGGAGGCAGCAGUAGGGAAUCUUCGGCAAUGGGGGCAACCCUGACCGAGCAACGCCGCGUGAGUGAAGAAGGUUUUCGGAUCGUAAAGCUCUGUUGUAAGUCAAGAACGAGUGUGAGAGUGGAAAGUUCACACUGUGACGGUAGCUUACCAGAAAGGGACGGCUAACUACGUGCCAGCAGCCGCGGUAAUACGUAGGUCCCGAGCGUUGUCCGGAUUUAUUGGGCGUAAAGCGAGCGCAGGCGGUUUGAUAAGUCUGAAGUUAAAGGCUGUGGCUCAACCAUAGUUCGCUUUGGAAACUGUCAAACUUGAGUGCAGAAGGGGAGAGUGGAAUUCCAUGUGUAGCGGUGAAAUGCGUAGAUAUAUGGAGGAACACCGGUGGCGAAAGCGGCUCUCUGGUCUGUAACUGACGCUGAGGCUCGAAAGCGUGGGGAGCGAACAGGAUUAGAUACCCUGGUAGUCCACGCCGUAAACGAUGAGUGCUAGGUGUUGGAUCCUUUCCGGGAUUCAGUGCCGCAGCUAACGCAUUAAGCACUCCGCCUGGGGAGUACGACCGCAAGGUUGAAACUCAAAGGAAUUGACGGGGGCCCGCACAAGCGGUGGAGCAUGUGGUUUAAUUCGAAGCAACGCGAAGAACCUUACCAGGUCUUGACAUCCCGAUGCUAUUUCUAGAGAUAGAAAGUUACUUCGGUACAUCGGUGACAGGUGGUGCAUGGUUGUCGUCAGCUCGUGUCGUGAGAUGUUGGGUUAAGUCCCGCAACGAGCGCAACCCCUAUUGUUAGUUGCCAUCAUUCAGUUGGGCACUCUAGCGAGACUGCCGGUAAUAAACCGGAGGAAGGUGGGGAUGACGUCAAAUCAUCAUGCCCCUUAUGACCUGGGCUACACACGUGCUACAAUGGUUGGUACAACGAGUUGCGAGUCGGUGACGGCAAGCUAAUCUCUUAAAGCCAAUCUCAGUUCGGAUUGUAGGCUGCAACUCGCCUACAUGAAGUCGGAAUCGCUAGUAAUCGCGGAUCAGCACGCCGCGGUGAAUACGUUCCCGGGCCUUGUACACACCGCCCGUCACGCCACGAGAGUUUGUAACACCCGAAGUCGGUGAGGUAACCUUUUGGAGCCAGCCGCCUAAGGUGGGAUAGAUGAUUGGGGUGAAGUCGUAACAAGGUA